CCUACGGGCGGCAGCAGUGAGGAAUAUUGGUCAAUGGCCGAGAGGCUGAACCAGCCAAGUCGCGUGAGGGAAGACGGCCCGACGGGUUGUAAAACGCGUUUGUCGGGGAGCAAAGCGAGGCACGUGUGACUCAUUGAGAGUACCCGAAGAAAAAGCAUCGGCUAACUCCGUGCCAGCAGCCGCGGUAAUACGGAGGAUGCGAGCGUGAUGCGGAUUGAUUGGGUUAAGGGGGUGCGCAGGCGGAGGUGCAAGUCAGCGGUCAAAUUGCGGGGCUCAACCCCGUACUGCCGUUGACACUGCAUCCCUUGAGUGCGCGAGAGGUAUGCGGAAUGCGUGGUGUAGCGGUGAAAUGCAUAGAUAUCACGCAGAACUCCGAUUGCGAAGGCAGCAUACCGGCGCGCAACUGACGCUCAUGCACGAAAGCGUGGGUAUCGAACAGGAUUAGAUACCCGAGUAGUC
RNAcentral lists this ribosomal RNA (459 nucleotides) under uncultured bacterium. Its description in RNAcentral is "partial 16S ribosomal RNA". It matches the Rfam family "Bacterial small subunit ribosomal RNA", at positions 338 to 795 of the family's 1533-position model. The record is from RNAcentral.